Molecule: long non-coding RNA, 396 nt
Organism: Artibeus jamaicensis (Jamaican fruit-eating bat)
Lineage: Eukaryota; Metazoa; Chordata; Mammalia; Chiroptera; Phyllostomidae
Exons: 3
Source: RefSeq, a predicted model, not a curated record
GUCCAGCUGAGAAACUAGACCACAUCAGGAUUGGGCUUGACUUAGAAACUGGACUGCCGGCGUGAGGAUGCAGAUUUGGAACCCAUAAAAGGUUUGAAAACCUGUGAAGAAAUUGCUUAAGAACCCCGGCCUGCAUUGGAAACUGAAUCAGUGUGCUCUAUAAGGGAGCAUAUUCUCCUCAACAGUGAACAUGGAUAACAUUGGCAACACUACAGAUGAGGACACUGAGGCCCAGAGUAUGAGGUGACGUGCCCGUCUUCACAGAGCUGGUAAGAAGAGACCCAGGAUUCGAGCCCUGCUCACCUGUUCCGGAGGGCAACUUUAAUACUCCUUGAAACAUCCUCAUCAGAGCCCAGUUCUGUUCAUGGGAAAGUGGGAAACAGCACAGAUCCUCCC